Pelobates cultripes (western spadefoot toad) is the source of this 466-nucleotide non-coding RNA. The record is from the annotation of a GenBank genome assembly. Lineage: Eukaryota; Metazoa; Chordata; Amphibia; Anura; Pelobatidae.
AUUUGUUGAUACUGAUAAAGGUGGUUUCACCAAGCCACAGAACUGCUUAAAACGUAAACCGAAACAGGUACCACCUUGGUCAUCCAAAUAAUACCACAAGCAUCCCCCCAUGCACACACACCAUGACCACUAAUGGGCAGUUAUAUGACAAAUGGCAAAGAAGCAACACAAAUCGCAAGCUAUGAUAUGGAAAUUCGGAAUUUACAGGGAAAUAAAAGCAGUAUCAUUUCCCAACAAAACUAAAAGAACAAACAAUUAGAGUAUGAAAAGGAACAUUUAGUGGUAUGUUUGCAAAGACUCUCAUUACUAAUAUACCGCAGAAUGUGAACUGGAAGGACAACAUGGGGAGGGAGAACUAAUAGCUUAAACGGUCCGUUUGAAAAAUUAGGCGUUGCAAAGUGUUGUGCGUUUGAUGAAUACAACUUCCAGCUAUCCACGUUACAAAAGCUCGACAAAUAGUAUUUAC